This 216-nucleotide ribosomal RNA is filed under the name Glomeromycotina sp. Its description in RNAcentral is "partial small subunit ribosomal RNA". The stretch from base 87 to 216 matches the Rfam family "Eukaryotic small subunit ribosomal RNA", at positions 733 to 864 of the family's 1831-position model. The record is from RNAcentral. Lineage: Eukaryota; Fungi; Glomeromycota.
GGGUCAGUAGGUUGGUCGUGCCACCGGUACGUACUGGUCUCACUGAUUCCUCCUUCCUGAAGAACCGUAAUGCCACUAAUUUGGUGUUGCAGGGAAACAGGACUGUUACUUUGAAAAAAUUAGAGUGUUUAAAGCAAGCUAACGCUUGAAUACAUUAGCAUGGAAUAAUGAAAUAGGACGAUCGAUCCUAUUUUGUUGGUUUCUAGGAUUGACGUG